Molecule: ribosomal RNA, 492 nt
Filed under: uncultured bacterium
Lineage: Bacteria
Description: partial 16S ribosomal RNA
Rfam family: Bacterial small subunit ribosomal RNA
Source: RNAcentral
AGUGAACGCUGGCGGUAGGCCUAACACAUGCAAGUCGAACGGCAGCACAGUAAGAGCUUGCUCUUACGGGUGGCGAGUGGCGGACGGGUGAGGAAUACACCGGAAUCUACUUUUUCGUGGGGGAUAACGUAGGGAAACUUACGCUAAUACCGCAUACGACCUACGGGUGAAAGCAGGGGAUCUUCGGACCUUGCGCGAUUGAAUGAGCCGAUGUCGGAUUAGCUAGUUGGCGGGGUAAAGGCCCACCAAGGCGACGAUCCGUAGCUGGUCUGAGAGGAUGAUCAGCCACACUGGAACUGAGACACGGUCCAGACUCCUACGGGAGGCAGCAGUGGGGAAUGUUGGACAAUGGGCGCAAGCCUGAUCCAGCCAUACCGCGUGGGUGGAGAAGGCCUUCGGGUUGUAAAGCCCUUUUGUUGGGAAAGAAAAGCAGCAGGUUAAUACCCCGCUGUUCUGACGGUACCCAAAGAAUAAGCACCGGCUAACUUCGUG